GCCGGCUGGGAGGGCGAGAUUUGUUUGUUUGUUUGUUAAUAAUUUUUCUCUCAACUCCUCCCUCCUUCGUCCAGAAAGAGAAAUAAAGUUGGGAGGCCUAGUCUCACAAAACGCCCCCGCCUGAAAAGAAGUGUGUGAUUGGGCUCCCUGAAACGUAUUCUCCGAAGAGUCGCCUGAACGUAGGAUAUUUAGUGUCCGAGGAAUUGGGAAAAGUACUGUAUUGUAGACCAACUGCAAAUCUAUACUGCAAAGCUCUACAACUGCAGUUCCCAACCCCAGGCUGCAGACAAGGGUCCAUGGAACAGGGCUGCACAGCAGGAGGUGAGAGUCAAACAAGCCAGGGAAGCUGAAGCUUCAACUGUAUUUACAGCUGCUCCCCAUUGCUCGCAUCACUGUCUGAGCUCUGCCUCCUGUUAGAUCAGCGGCAGCAUUAGUUGCAGGAAAACAAGCUCAGGACUCCCACUUAUUCUGCAUCAUGUGUAAAGUACACAAAGGCAGAGAUUUCUUCUUGUUGUUCACUGGAGUGUCUUCAGGAUAUAGAACACUACCUGGUAAAGAGGACUAAACAGGCCCAACGCUCUACUUCCCUGAGGAGAGAACUGGAGUCCAGCCCUUAAAGCCACUGACUAGAAAUUGUACAAGAGAUGUUAUUAAAAAGAAGAAGAAGAAUGUCAACACUUGCCAUACAUAACAACUCAAAUUCCUGGUUCUCUUUCUCCUGUACUGAAAUAAGGAAAACAUGCAAAAAAUGUCACCUGGUCAAGGUUCAAGGUAGGUGGCUGUGGUGUUGAUUCAAUAACCUAAAAAUGUCCGCCAAUAUUUCCACAAUUCACAUCAUGUUCCCUGAUGGCAGAGCUGCAUCACUUUCCCAUCCAAGGAAAACAAGAAAACCGCCGCAGCAGCAGUAGCCAUGUGAGUCUCUCUUACCAGGAAACACAGCUUUCCCUGAGGAACCUCCCAGCAAACUUUUCUUUGUAACUCAUUUGUCAGAACAGACUAGACAACUACCCCAGCUACAAGGAAGACUGCGAAAACAGGGAACGAGAUUAUAAUGACUGGAUUAUUCCAUUGACUCAAGAUGAGCACAUUGGCACCUCAAAAAACCAGGGUUCCUUUAGCAGAAAAAAAGUGAAAAUAAAUAUCGAUUUAGUAACUUGCAGUGUCUGCAACAACACCCCCCCUUCCAACCAAGUAUCAAGUCAGGUCUCUUUUACCCCUUAAAUAUCUCUAAAGUGGGUCUGUUUCUUGACUGCUGUCCCCACUUCAGUGUAAACUACUAUCAUCUGUGCUCAGGACUACAGCAACCAACUGUUAUUCAUUGUUUUCCUGCUUUGAGUCAUGAUUAUUUCCCUCCAAUCUCUUCUCUAGGUUCAUCCAGAGUGAUCUUUUAUGUGGUAAAUAUGAACUUGUUAUUCACUGCCCUAAACCACUUCCCUGACCAACACCCGGCUAUUCCUUACGUCUGCUCAUCUUAUCCCCGGCUCAGUGCAGCUUCACCAACCUCUCCACUUCCACCUGCCCACUUUUAGCUUACUCCUACUCAUCCUUCAGGACGUUCACUCACUCGUCUCCUCACGUCCCUCAUCUCUAAGCUGAGAUAGGUGCUCCUUUAUGUGUUCUCAAAUAGUAUAUUUGAAUUGUAUAAAUUGUAUUAUAUAAUACAAUAUUGUAUUAUCAUUAUCUCAGUAUAUGGCUGUCACCACCACCAGAAAGAGUUUCUUUAAAAGUAAAGCAUCUGUUUCAUUCACAUUAGGAUCUUCAUCACCGAGCAUAGUACC
Long non-coding RNA from Lemur catta (Ring-tailed lemur), 1778 nucleotides. RefSeq lists it as uncharacterized. NCBI's taxonomy places the organism in Eukaryota, Metazoa, Chordata, Mammalia, Primates, Lemuridae. The transcript has 5 exons. The record is from RefSeq and is a predicted model, not a curated record.